AUGGGGGCAACCCUGAUCCAGCCAUGCCGCGUGUGUGAAGAAGGCUUUCGGGUUGUAAAGCACUUUCAGUGAGGAGGAAGGCUCUGAAGUUAAUACCUUCAGGGAUUGACGUUACUCACAGAAGAAGCACCGGCUAACUCCGUGCCAGCAGCCGCGGUAAUACGGAGGGUGCAAGCGUUAAUCGGAAUUACUGGGCGUAAAGCGCGCGUAGGUGGUUAGGUAAGCGAGAUGUGAAAGCCCCGGGCUUAACCUGGGAACGGCAUUUCGAACUGUCUGACUAGAGUGUGGUAGAGGGUAGUGGAAUUUCCUGUGUAGCGGUGAAAUGCGUAGAUAUAGGAAGGAACACCAGUGGCGAAGGCGGCUACCUGGACCAACACUGACACUGAGGUGCGAAAGCGUGGGGAGCAAACARRAUUAGAUACCCUGGUAGUCCACGCCGUAAACGAUGUCAACUAGCCGUUGGGACUCUUGAAGUCUUAGUGGCGCAGCUAACGCACUAAGUGACCGCCUGGAKACGCCKMU
This 522-nucleotide ribosomal RNA is filed under the name Marinobacter sp. A1. Its description in RNAcentral is "bacterial SSU rRNA". It matches the Rfam family "Bacterial small subunit ribosomal RNA", at positions 371 to 886 of the family's 1533-position model. Lineage: Bacteria; Pseudomonadati; Pseudomonadota; Gammaproteobacteria; Pseudomonadales; Marinobacteraceae. The record is from RNAcentral.